Molecule: ribosomal RNA, 543 nt
Filed under: uncultured bacterium
Lineage: Bacteria
Description: bacterial SSU rRNA
Rfam family: Bacterial small subunit ribosomal RNA
Source: RNAcentral
AAUAGAUACCCUGGUAGUCCACGCCGUAAACGAUGAGUGCUAAGUGUUAGGGGGUUUCCGCCCCUUAGUGCUGCAGCUAACGCAUUAAACACUCCGCCUGGGGAGUACGGUCGCAAGACUGAAACUCAAAGGAAUUGACGGGGGCCCGCACAAGCGGUGGAGCAUGUGGUUUAAUUCGAAGCAACGCGAAGAACCUUACCAGGUCUUGACAUCCCAUUGACCGCUAUGGAGACAUAGCUUUCCCUUCGGGGACAGUGGUGACAGGUGGUGCAUGGUUGUCGUCAGCUCGUGUCGUGAGAUGUUGGGUUAAGUCCCGCAACGAGCGCAACCCUUGUUCUUAGUUGCCAUCAUUUAGUUGGGCACUCUAAGGAGACUGCCGGUGACAAACCGGAGGAAGGUGGGGAUGACGUCAAAUCAUCAUGCCCCUUAUGACCUGGGCUACACACGUGCUACAAUGGACGGUACAAACGGUUGCCAACCCGCGAGGGGAGCUAAUCCGAUAAAACCGUUCUCAGUUCGGAUUGUAGGCUGCAACUCGCCUAC